RNAcentral lists this ribosomal RNA (410 nucleotides) under uncultured Gammaproteobacteria bacterium. RNAcentral's name for it is "partial 16S ribosomal RNA". It matches the Rfam family "Bacterial small subunit ribosomal RNA", at positions 376 to 835 of the family's 1533-position model. Lineage: Bacteria; Pseudomonadati; Pseudomonadota; Gammaproteobacteria. The record is from RNAcentral.
CGAAAGCCUGAUCCAGCAAUGCCGCGUGUGUGAACAAGGCCUUAGGUUGUAAAGCACUUUAUCCGGAAAGAAACCCUCUGGGUUAAUACCCCAAAGAAUGACGGUACCGGAAAAUAACACCGGCUAACUACUGCCACACCGCGGUAAUACUAGGUGCAAGCGUUAAUCAAAUUACUGGGCGUAAAGCGUGCCAGCGGUUUUGUAAACGAUGUGAAACCCUGGGCUCAACCUGGGAACUGCAUUCUAUCUGUUUUAUCUUUAGUAUACAAAGGGGGUAAAUUCCCUGACAAUGAAUUGCGUAAUCCUAUUGAACUCCGGCCCCUGCGGUCAACAUUGGGAAGCUCCCACCCUUGAUGCUACUUGAUUUCAAUUGUCCCCAAAUGCUGGCUAGUCGUGGCCUGACAGUUCUG